CCUCCCUUGCGUGUGUUUUGGGAGAGAUGGUUUUAUGUUACCCGCACACAUCCAAACCCCCUUGUGCACUCCAUCAAGGUUCUGCUCUUAACUAAGCCUUCCAGUCAUUAUUAUUUGCUUCUUGUUCUGAAAUAAUUAUUUUUUAUCACUAAGGGUGGUUGCCGUACUGUAAGCUAUCAUGUGAAAAAUUCCAUGACACGAGGAAGGCCGUGGGAAAAAAAAAAAGGCAACAUGACAAAGCAUUUGUCUACAUGUUGAACCUGUUAGUGGUGCAAAACUUGAGUGGGCGUUGACUGACGGUUAACUACAAAAGUUACGUCCUCGCCGAUUCAACUUUGCGGCCUGGGAACUUUCUGUUUGACAUUGUUUACAGUAAGUAUAAGGGUAGGAUAGAUUUGCGCUCCACCACAGAAUCUGAUCCAGCCCGCCGUGCAAUUCUGAAAAUAAAUAAAAUCUCAGAGGAACUAUUACGAGAAAACCUCAACCAUCCAUUUUCUACGGUAUAUCGCUUGUCCACAUUAAGAUUGCGGGUGAGGCGGGUGACACCCUGCAUUGGUUGCCCACCAGUCGCAGGACAAAUAUAAACCAACCGCCCAUUCACACCUGAGGACAAUUUUGAGUCGACUCUAACAUGCAUGUUUGUGCAAUGCGGGAGGAAGCCACAGUACAACCACGGAGGGCUUAAAAAAAAAAGCAUUCAAGGGACAGUGCAAGACAUUUGAAAGCUUCUUUGACCAGCAGCUGAACCUUCAACCUGCACCUUCUGCAUCUCUCUGCGCUUCAGGAUGUUUUUGUUGAGCUUAGCUCCCAUUGUUCACGCAGCAACUUGGCUGGCCUCCCACGGCUGCUGCUUGCCGCUGCUGGCUGCUGGUUCCUAUCGCCCCCCCACCCCUCGUAAUGGCUUCUUCAUGUGCCUCCUGCGUGAGCCAGACAGACAACGCAAAGCAUCAUGGGAGAGAAGAACCAGCUGAAAGUAAAUAAACAGAUCGACAG
Long non-coding RNA from Syngnathus acus (greater pipefish), 993 nucleotides. RefSeq lists it as uncharacterized. The record is from RefSeq and is a predicted model, not a curated record. Lineage: Eukaryota; Metazoa; Chordata; Actinopteri; Syngnathiformes; Syngnathidae. The transcript has 3 exons.